RNAcentral lists this ribosomal RNA (497 nucleotides) under uncultured bacterium. RNAcentral's name for it is "partial 16S ribosomal RNA". It matches the Rfam family "Bacterial small subunit ribosomal RNA", at positions 28 to 507 of the family's 1533-position model. The record is from RNAcentral.
GAUGAACGCUGGCGGCGUGCCUAAUACAUGCAAGUCGAGCGAACAGACGAGGAGCUUGCUCCUUCGACGUUAGCGGCGGACGGGUGAGUAACACGUAGGUAACCUACCUAUAAGACUGGGAUAACUUCGGGAAACCGGAGCUAAUACCGGAUAAUAUUUCGAACCGCAUGGUUCGAUAGUGAAAGAUGGCUUUGCUAUCACUUAUAGAUGGACCUGCGCCGUAUUAGCUAGUUGGUAAGGUAACGGCUUACCAAGGCAACGAUACGUAGCCGACCUGAGAGGGUGAUCGGCCACACUGGAACUGAGACACGGUCCAGACUCCUACGGGAGGCAGCAGUAGGGAAUCUUCCGCAAUGGGCGAAAGCCUGACGGAGCAACGCCGCGUGAGUGAUGAAGGUCUUCGGAUCGUAAAACUCUGUUAUUAGGGAGGAACAAACGUGUAAGUAACUGUGCACGUCUUGACGGUACCUAAUCAGAAAGCCACGGCUAACUACGUG